UACGUAGGGGCCUAGCGUUGUCCGGAAUUAUUGGGCGUAAAGAGCUCGUAGGCGGUUCGGCAAGUCGGAUGUGAAAUCUCCACGCUUAACGUGGAGGGGCCAUUCGAAACUGCUGUGACUCGAGUCCGGUAGGGGAGUGUGGAAUUCCCGGUGUAGCGGUGAAAUGCGCAGAUAUCAGGAGGAACACCGGUGGCGAAGGCGGUUCUCUGGGCAUUACCUGACGCUGAGGAGCGAAAGUGUGGGGAGCGAACAGG
RNAcentral lists this ribosomal RNA (254 nucleotides) under uncultured bacterium. RNAcentral describes it as "partial 16S ribosomal RNA". It matches the Rfam family "Bacterial small subunit ribosomal RNA", at positions 524 to 776 of the family's 1533-position model. The record is from RNAcentral.